This 100-nucleotide small nuclear RNA is filed under the name Myotis davidii. The record is from RNAcentral. Lineage: Eukaryota; Metazoa; Chordata; Mammalia; Chiroptera; Vespertilionidae.
GUGCUUGCUUUGGCAGCACAUAUACUAAAAUUGAAACAGAAUAUUAGCAUGGCCCCUGCACAGGAAUGACACACAAAUUUGUGAAACAUAGAAAAACAUC